AGUGAACGCUGGCGGUAGGCCUAACACAUGCAAGUCGAACGGCAGCACAGUAAGAGCUUGCUCUUACGGGUGGCGAGUGGCGGACGGGUGAGGAAUACAUCGGAAUCUACUUUUUCGUGGGGGAUAACGUAGGGAAACUUACGCUAAUACCGCAUACGACCUACGGGUGAAAGCAGGGGAUCUUCGGACCUUGCGCGAUUGAAUGAGCCGAUGUCGGAUUAGCUAGUUGGCGGGGUAAAGGCCCACCAAGGCGACGAUCCGUAGCUGGUCUGAGAGGAUGAGCAGCCAAACUGGAACUGGAAAACGGUCCAGACCCCUACGGGGGGCAGCAGGGGGGAAUAUGGGACAAGGGGGGAAAGCCUGAUCCAGCCAUACCGGGGGGGUGAAGAAGGCCUUCGGGUUGUAAAGCCCUUUUGUUGGGAAAAAAAAGCAGCAGGUUAAUACCCCGCGUUUCUGACGGUACCCAAAGAAUAAGCACCGGCUAACUUCGU
Molecule: ribosomal RNA, 491 nt
Filed under: uncultured bacterium
Lineage: Bacteria
Description: partial 16S ribosomal RNA
Rfam family: Bacterial small subunit ribosomal RNA
Source: RNAcentral